RNAcentral lists this ribosomal RNA (739 nucleotides) under marine metagenome. Its description in RNAcentral is "bacterial SSU rRNA". It matches the Rfam family "Bacterial small subunit ribosomal RNA", at positions 767 to 1520 of the family's 1533-position model. The record is from RNAcentral.
AGCGAACAGGAUUAGAUACCCUGGUAGUCCACGCCGUAAACUAUGAUCACUAGAUGUUGGCGAUAUAAUGUCAGCGUUCAAGAGAAAUCGUUAAGUGAUCCACCUGGGGAGUACGUUCGCAAGAAUGAAACUCAAAGGAAUUGACGGGGGCCCGCACAAGCGGUGGAGCAUGUGGUUUAAUUCGAUGAUACGCGAGGAACCUUACCAAGGCUUAAAUGUAAUACGACCGAUUGAGAAAUCAAUCUUUUUUCGAACGGAUUACAAGGUGCUGCAUGGUUGUCGUCAGCUCGUGCCGUGAGGUGUCGGGUUAAGUCCCAUAACGAGCGCAACCCCUAUUUUUAGUUGCCAGCGAGUAAUGUCGGGAACUCUAGAAAGACUGCCUGUGUAAACAGAGAGGAAGGUGGGGAUGACGUCAAAUCAUCACGGCCCUUAUGUCUUGGGCUACACACGUGCUACAAUGGUAAUUACAGUGGGAAGCCAUCUGGCGACAGAGAGCUAAUCCAUAAAAAUUAUCCCAGUUCGGAUCGGAGUCUGCAACUCGACUCUGUGAAGUUGGAAUCGCUAGUAAUCGCACAUCAGCCAUGGUGCGGUGAAUACGUUCCCGGGCCUUGUACACACCGCCCGUCAAGCCAUGGAAGUUUGGGGUACCUAAAGUCAGUAACCGCAAGGAGCUGCCUAAGGUAAAACAAGUAACUAGGGCUAAGUCGUAACAAGGUAGCCGUACCGGAAGGUGCGGCUG